UACGUAGGGUGCAAGCGUUAAUCGGAAUUACUGGGCGUAAAGCGUGCGCAGGCGGUUGUGUAAGACAGAUGUGAAAUCCCCGGGCUCAACCUGGGAACUGCAUUUGUGACUGCAUCGCUGGAGUGCGGCAGAGGGGGAUGGGAAUUCCGCGUGUAGCAGUGAAAUGCGUAGAUAUGCGGAGGAACACCGAUGGCGAAGGCAAUCCCCUGGGCCUGCACUGAC
This 222-nucleotide ribosomal RNA is filed under the name uncultured bacterium. Its description in RNAcentral is "partial 16S ribosomal RNA". It matches the Rfam family "Bacterial small subunit ribosomal RNA", at positions 524 to 744 of the family's 1533-position model. The record is from RNAcentral.